RNAcentral lists this ribosomal RNA (253 nucleotides) under uncultured bacterium. RNAcentral's name for it is "partial 16S ribosomal RNA". It matches the Rfam family "Bacterial small subunit ribosomal RNA", at positions 524 to 776 of the family's 1533-position model. The record is from RNAcentral.
UACGUAGGGUGCAAGCGUUGUCCGGAAUUAUUGGGCGUAAAGCGCUCGUAGGCGGUCUGUUGCGUCUGCUGUGAAAACUCAGGGCUUAACCCUGGGCUUGCAGUGGGUACGGGCAGACUAGAGUGCGGUAGGGGAGAGUGGAAUUCCUGGUGUAGCGGUGAAAUGCGUAGAUAUCAGGAGGAACACCGGUGGCGAAGGCGGGUCUCUGGGCCGUAACUGACGCUGAGGCGCGAAAGCGUGGGGAGCGAACAGG